RNAcentral lists this ribosomal RNA (288 nucleotides) under uncultured bacterium. RNAcentral describes it as "partial 16S ribosomal RNA". It matches the Rfam family "Bacterial small subunit ribosomal RNA", at positions 773 to 1060 of the family's 1533-position model. The record is from RNAcentral.
GUGGAUUAGAUACCCUGGUAGUCCAUGCCGUAAACGAUGUCUACUAGCCGUUGGGGCCUUUGAGGCUUUAGUGGCGCAGCUAACGCGAUAAGUAGACCGCCUGGGGAGUACGGUCGCAAGACUAAAACUCAAAUGAAUUGACGGGGGCCCGCACAAGCGGUGGAGCAUGUGGUUUAAUUCGAUGCAACGCGAAGAACCUUACCUGGCCUUGACAUAGUAGAAACUUUCCAGAGAUGGAUUGGUGCCUUCGGGAAUCUACAUACAGGUGCUGCACGGCCGUCGCCAACU